RNAcentral lists this ribosomal RNA (500 nucleotides) under uncultured Myrionecta. RNAcentral's name for it is "SSU rRNA". It matches the Rfam family "Eukaryotic small subunit ribosomal RNA", at positions 33 to 600 of the family's 1831-position model. The record is from RNAcentral. Lineage: Eukaryota; Ciliophora; Litostomatea; Cyclotrichida; Mesodiniidae.
CGCCUGACCAGAUAGCCAUGCUCGUCUAGUACAAUCUAAUGAUGGUGAAACUGCAAAUGGCUCAUUACAACGGUUAUGAUGUACCCGGGAGUUCCGAUGGAUAUUUCCCGUAACACUAGAACUAAUACAUGUCCCUGCGUUUAUUAGUUUCGCACAGUCCGUCGCUGAGUCAUGGUAAACAGUUGAUCGACUCGACGUCCCGGAACAGUUUCCGCCCCAUCAGCUUCGAUGGUUGGGUAUUGGCCUACCAUUGCAACAACGGGUAACGAGGAAUUAGGGUUUGAUUUCGGAGAGGGAGCCUGAGAAACGGCUACCACAUCUACGGAUGGCAGCAGGCGCGCAAAUUACCCAAUGCAGACACUGUGAGGUAGUGACGAGAAAUAAUAAAGCGGGACUUCUGUUUCGCUAUUAUAAUGAGGAAUAACCAAAGGUCAUUCCGAUUAGCAGCUGAUGGGAAAGUCUGGUGCCAGCAGCCGCGGUAAUACCAGCGUCAGUAGCAU